GAAAGAUUCAUCGGAAGAGGAUGGGCAUGCGGCGCAUUAGCUUGACGGCGGGGUAACGGCCCACCGUGGCGACGAUGCGUAGGGGUUCUGAGAGGAAGGUCCCCCACACUGGUACUGAGACACGGACCAGACUCCUACGGGAGGCAGCAGUGAGGAAUAUUGGUCAAUGGGAGAGAUCCUGAACCAGCCAAGCCGCGUGAGGGAAGACGGCCCUAUGGGUUGUAAACCUCUUUUGUCGGAGAACAAAACCCGGGACGUGUCCCGGACUGCGUGUAUCCGAAGAAAAAGCAUCGGCUAACUCCGUGCCAGCAGCCGCGGUAAUACGGAGGAUGCGAGCGUUAUCCGGAUUUAUUGGGUUUAAAGGGUGCGUAGGCGGUCCGUUAAGUCGGCGGUAAAAUUGCGGGGCUCAACCCCGUCGAGCCGUUGAAACUGGCAGACUUGAGUUGGCGAGAAGUACGCGGAAUGCGCGGUGUAGCGGUGAAAUGCAUAGAUAUCGCGCAGAACUCCGAUUGCGAAGGCAGCGUACCGGCGCCAGACUGACGCUGAGGCACGAAAGCGUGGGGAUCGAACAGGAUUAGAUACCCUGGUAGUCCACGCAGU
RNAcentral lists this ribosomal RNA (600 nucleotides) under uncultured bacterium. RNAcentral's name for it is "bacterial SSU rRNA". It matches the Rfam family "Bacterial small subunit ribosomal RNA", at positions 202 to 803 of the family's 1533-position model. The record is from RNAcentral.